Molecule: transfer RNA, 56 nt
Filed under: Mongoloniscus sinensis
Lineage: Eukaryota; Metazoa; Arthropoda; Malacostraca; Isopoda; Agnaridae
Description: tRNA-Tyr
Source: RNAcentral
AAGCUUAAAGCGAUAGAUUGUAAAUCUAUAGAAGAGUUAGGUUUAUUUAUCUCUUA